UGACACUGGAGAGACCUGGCUUCUGGGGCAGAGGGCUCUGCAAGCCUGUUGCGCAUGUGUGGACUCUUUCAUGUACAAUAAGUGUACAGUCAUUCUCCCUUGCUACUGUAAUUGUGGUACAAACAGAAAAUGUGCCUAACGAAGAAUGGACCUUCAGAUUCUCCAAACUGUUGAUCCUGAGGAACUUUCCAAAAUGGCUCCCAUGAAAAUGCCUUCUCUGCUGCAUCUACUAUUUAGGAAACAAGUUUAGAGAGCCUAUUUAUUGAAGAGACUAAACUUGGUGGAGGCAAGAGGAAGACUGUGCCGGAGGUAAACACAAACUCUUGGGAAAGUGAAAAGUAAACAAGGUAAACACUGUGAUGAAGACUGUUGCAUACGCUCAUCGUUAUCAUCGACAUCUUAGGCAUAGUAAAGGAAAAAGAUAAUGGCAAUUAAACUUAAUG
Molecule: long non-coding RNA, 443 nt
Organism: Fukomys damarensis (Damara mole-rat)
Lineage: Eukaryota; Metazoa; Chordata; Mammalia; Rodentia; Bathyergidae
Exons: 4
Source: RefSeq, a predicted model, not a curated record